GACGAACGCUGGCGGCGUGCUUAACACAUGCAAGUCGAACGAUGAACCCGGAGCUUGCUCUGGGGGAUUAGUGGCGAACGGGUGAGUAACACGUGAGUAACCUGCCCUGGACUCUGGGAUAAGCGUUGGAAACGACGUCUAAUACCGGAUAGGACCUUGGAUCGCAUGAUCUGGGGUGGAAAGUUUUUUCGGUCUGGGAUGGACUCGCGGCCUAUCAGCUUGUUGGUGAGGUAAUGGCUCACCAAGGCGUCGACGGGUAGCCGGCCUGAGAGGGUGACCGGCCACACUGGGACUGAGACACGGCCCAGACUCCUACGGGAGGCAGCAGUGGGGAAUAUUGCAAAAUGGGCGAAAGCCUGAUGCAGCAACGCCGCGUGCGGGAUGACGGCCGUCGGGUUGUAAACCGCUUUUAGUAGGGAAGAAGGGCUUCGGCUUGACGGUACCUGCAGAAAAAGGACCGGCUAACUACGUG
Molecule: ribosomal RNA, 472 nt
Filed under: uncultured bacterium
Lineage: Bacteria
Description: partial 16S ribosomal RNA
Rfam family: Bacterial small subunit ribosomal RNA
Source: RNAcentral